CAGCCGCCGCGGGAAUACGAAGGGUGCAAGCGUUAAUCGGAAUUACUGGGCGUAAAGCGUGCGUAGGCGGUUUGUUAAGUCUGCUGUGAAAUCCCCGGGCUCAACCUGGGAAUGGCAGUGGAUACUGGCAAGCUAGAGUGUGUCAGAGGAUGGUGGAAUUCCCGGUGUAGCGGUGAAAUGCGUAGAGAUCGGGAGGAACAUCAGUGGCGAAGGCGGCCAUCUGGGACAACACUGACGCUGAGGCACGAAAGCGUGGGGAGCAAACAGGAUUAGAUACCCCUGUAGUCCCUGUCUCUUAUAA
This 301-nucleotide ribosomal RNA is filed under the name uncultured bacterium. RNAcentral's name for it is "partial 16S ribosomal RNA". It matches the Rfam family "Bacterial small subunit ribosomal RNA", at positions 509 to 809 of the family's 1533-position model. The record is from RNAcentral.